UUCGCAAUGCCCGAAAGGGUGACGAAGCGACGCCGCGUGCGGGAGGAAGGCCUUCGGGUUGUAGACCGCUGUCGGGAGUUAAGAAAUGCAAGGAUGUUAAUAGCGUUCUUGCUUGACUAAGGCUCCGGAGGAAGCCACGGCUAACUCUGUGCCAGCAGCCGCGGUAAUACAGAGGCGGCAAGCGUUGUUCGGAAUUAUUGGGCGUAAAGAGCACGUAGGCGGCUGUGUAAGUCGGUUGUGAAAGCCUUCCGCUCAACGGAAGAACGGCAUCCGAUACUGCAUGGCUUGAGUGCGGGAGGGGAGAGUGGAACUUCUGGUGGAGCGGUGAAAUGCGUAGAUAUCAGAAGGAACGCCGGCGGCGAAAGCGGCUCUCUGGCCCAUAACUGACGCUGAGUGUGCGAAAGCUAGGGGAGCAAACGGGAUUAGAUACCCCGGUAGUCCUAGCCGUAAACGAUGGGCACUAAGUAGAGGGGUUUU
This 477-nucleotide ribosomal RNA is filed under the name uncultured bacterium. RNAcentral describes it as "bacterial SSU rRNA". It matches the Rfam family "Bacterial small subunit ribosomal RNA", at positions 365 to 832 of the family's 1533-position model. The record is from RNAcentral.